CUUUUCUUUUUCUCAGGUCUCAUUUACUUCCUCUUUUUUUUUUCCUUUUCCUUUUCCUAUACCUUCCUUUGGUCCUUAUAAGUAUCCAAAUUGCCCUAAAAUAACUUCUGCACAUGCAGCAUUAGGAAGCAGUGUUUCCCAACCACUACAUUUGAAUGAUUCAUUCCUCUGAGGACCCUCAAGUACUUCAGAAGAACUAAAAAAUGAAUAUCACGUUACACCAAAGAAGAAAUGAAAGCUGCCAGUGUCUUCUGAAGUUAAACAGGCUCCUGUUCUUUGACCCAGCAAUCCAAUCCUAGGACUCCAACUAAGCCACUAUGCUGGGAGCAGAGAUGGGGAAGAAUUGCUGAGUCAUGAUAAGAGAAGGCACUAUAGGAAGAAACAGUGAACUCUUAACAGCUGGGCAAGCAAUGAGUCAGCCUGGGUGGUCACUCCAGAUGCUCCCGGACACAUCCCAAUUUCUAGGAUGCCUUGCUUGUUGUUCUUGUCAUGGUCUAAACCAGCUUACCCCACUGCCACAUUUAUCCAUCAGCCUAUGGGAAAAGGGAAAAAGGAUGUGGAAGUGAAGUGAUCUUUAAAAGCCAAGGAAAGGAAGACAGGAAAAAUGAAGAUAAAUCCCAAAAGAUCAAUAUUUACUUUUAGUCUGCAUUUAAGUGUGCAUCGUUGAGAGAAUCCACGGCAACUUUUAUUAAAGAUAGAAGUUGUACUUGCCAACACAUCAACAAUUUAUGUUUAGAAACAAGAUACUCAAUCUCAAGUUAUCUUCCCUCUGUAAGCCGCAUUUAGCUUUUUAAAAAUCAAGAUAUUGAGAUGCAUUAUACAUAUUGCAAAAUCGAUGUUUUUAGGUGUACCGUUUUAUAAAUCCUGACAAAUUUAUACCGUUGUGUUUACAAUACCACAAACAAGAAACAGAACAUUUCUAUCACUCCAAAUGUUUCUUUGUGUCCUUUGUAAUCAGUUUUCUUCCUCCAAGGCCAGAGCCUGAUAACUACCAAUCUGCUCUGUGUCUUAAUAGCUUUGCCUUUUCUGGAAGGACAUCUCAAUGGAAUCCUAUAGUAUGUAGCAUUUGAAACGGGCAUCUUUCUUUUAAUAUAUUUGAGAUU
RNAcentral lists this long non-coding RNA (1103 nucleotides) under Homo sapiens (human). Its description in RNAcentral is "HSALNT0375840". Lineage: Eukaryota; Metazoa; Chordata; Mammalia; Primates; Hominidae. The record is from RNAcentral.